UAGGGAAUCUUCGGCAAUGGGGGCAACCCUGACCGAGCAACGCCGCGUGAGUGAAGAAGGUUUUCGGAUCGUAAAGCUCUGUUGUAAGAGAAGAACGUGUGUGAGAGUGGAAAGUUCACACAGUGACGGUAACUUACCAGAAAGGGACGGCUAACUACGUGCCAGCAGCCGCGGUAAUACGUAGGUCCCGAGCGUUGUCCGGAUUUAUUGGGCGUAAAGCGAGCGCAGGCGGUUUAAUAAGUCUGAAGUUAAAGGCAGUGGCUUAACCAUUGUUCGCUUUGGAAGCUGUUAAACUUGAGUGCGGAAGGGGAGAGUGGAAUUCCAUGUGUAGCGGUGAAAUGCGUAGAUAUAUGGAGGAACACCGGUGGCGAAAGCGGCUCUCUGGUCUGUAACUGACGCUGAGGCUCGAAAGCGUGGGGAGCAAACAGG
This 429-nucleotide ribosomal RNA is filed under the name bacterium. Its description in RNAcentral is "partial 16S ribosomal RNA". It matches the Rfam family "Bacterial small subunit ribosomal RNA", at positions 355 to 776 of the family's 1533-position model. The record is from RNAcentral.